Ribosomal RNA from Candidatus Nanopusillus sp., 2936 nucleotides. It matches the Rfam family "Archaeal large subunit ribosomal RNA". The record is from Rfam. Lineage: Archaea; Nanobdellati; Nanobdellota; Candidatus Nanoarchaeia; Nanoarchaeales; Nanopusillaceae.
UAUAUAGUCUCAGGAACCCGCCCGGUGGAUGCCUGGGCUCGGAAGCCGAAGAAGGGCGUGGCAAGCUGCGAAAAGCUGGAGGGAGGUGCAUGCAACCGUUGAUCUCCAGAUUCCCGAAUGGGAUAUCCUGCCAAAAGGCAUCCCGUAAGGGAGGGGAACGCGGGGAAGGGAAACAUCUUAGUACCCGCAGGAAUAAAAAACAAUUUGUGAUUUCCUGAGUAGGGGCGACCGAAAGGGAAGGAGCCCAAACUGAAUCCUCUAAAGUAAUUUAGAGGAGAUGUGGGGUAAAGGAACGGGAGCUUCCCGUUAUUAUAUCCUCAGAACUCCGGUGAAAGUCCGGGGCCAUAGAGGGUGACAGCCCCGUAUGGGGAUAUAAUAGUGGGAUUUCCCGUUUCCGGAGUACCGGCGGUUGGAUUUCCGUCGGGAAUUUGGGGGAAACUAGCCCCCAAGGCUAAAUACUCUCCGAGUCCGAUAGCGUAUCAGUAGGGCGACCGAAAGGUGAAAAGAACCCUUGGCAGGGGGUGAAAAGAGCCUGAAACCGGGCGGGGAUUGUCUGGUAGGGCUAGUUAAGCACCUUAUCUGGGAAAAUCUGGUGACAGAUGAGUACCAGAUAGGGUGCUAGCUAGUUCUACCGUGAGUUUUGAAGAACUUGCGGGGGAGUAUACCCGAGUGGCGAGGUUAAGGUUUAUACCGAAGCCAUAGGGAAACCGAAAGCCCGUAACCUGGUUUCCAGGUGAGGGGCACCGUCCCAUAAGGGCGGUUUAGUCACUCGGGUAUGACCGGAAGCCGGGCGAUCUACCCCGGGGCAGGGCGAAGCGGGGUUUCCCGUGGAGGCCCGAAGAGGUGGGGCUUAUCUCUCUCAUGACCUCGGGGUAGAGGUGAAAAGCCACUCGGGCCCGGUUAUAGCCGGUCCCCGCCGAAACUGACCCCAGCCAGGUCUCGGGUUGGGAUCCCUAUGGUGUAGAGAUACGGAUUCUGUACGGGUUUCCGUACGGAGUCCAACUCCGAAGCCAUAGGGUCCGUAGCCCGGGAAACGGGGAUUGCGGGAAAGCCGCAAUUCCGAGACGGGAACAACCGAGACCGAGGUUAAGGCCCCAAAGUGCUGGCUGAACGAUUUUGAAGGAGUCUGUCCCCUAAGACAUCGGGGAUGUGGGCCUAAUAGUGGCUAUCAUCUAAGGAGUGUGUAACAACUCACCCGACGAGGGGAUAGGCUCCGAAAACGGACGGGUCUAAGCCAGCCGCCGAGACCUCGGUCCGCUGGCAUUGCCAGCGUGAGGUAGGCGGGCGUCCCGAUGGCCUAGAAGGGUUCCUGAAAGGGAGCCUGGAGCCGUCGGGAAUGAAGAUCCCCGCGGUAGUAAGAAUCAGACGGGUGAGAAUCCCGUCGGCCGAAGGGGGAAAGGUUUCCCAGGCAAUGAAAAUCAGCCUGGGGUUAGUCGAUCCUAAUUCAGGCUCCGAGUGGAGUCUGGAGAAAGGGAAAGGGGUUAAUAUUCCCCUACCGCUCCGAUAGAUGCGGUAACGCAACAUCCUUUCCCGACCCGGAAGGCUAGGCAUACACGGGGGUGGGGUAAAACUCACUUACCGUGCUAAGGGGGAUAGGACCGGGGAGUGCCGUCAUGGCGAGAACCGGUCUAAACCCUAAUGGGCCCGAAAGGGUUAUGCCGAGGCCUUCCGGCAAUGAAAAGGGAAAGGAUGCGAUUCGGAGCGAUCGUACCGAAAUCCAGAAUAGGUCCCCUGGGUGAGCAGCCUAAGGCCGUGGGGGUCAAGCCGGUCCAGGGAACUUGGCAAAUUGGUCCCGUAACUUCGGGAGAAGGGAUGCCUGCGGUGUAGACCGCAGGUCGCAGUGACAAGGGCGGGCGGACUGUUUAUCAAAAACAUAGCUCCCAGCAAGCCCGAAAGGGUUUGUACUGGGGGUGACGUCUGCUCAGCACCGGUAUCUGAAUCCCCCGUUCAAGGGGGGUAAGGACCGGUAAACGGCGGGGGUAACUCUGACCCUCUUAAGGUAGCGUAAUGCCUUGCCAGUUAAAUGCUGGCUCUGCGAACGACGUAACUAGCCCGCCACUGUCCCGGGCCGGCGCCCCCUGAAAAGCUAUCCUGGUGAGAAGGCCAGGGACUUCCGAUGGGUAAAAAAGACCCCGUGAAGCUUAACCGCAGCCUGUUGUUGCUCUGAAGAACCUGGUGUGUAGGGUAGCGGGGAGCAAUGAAUUCCUGCCGCUAGGUAGGAAGGAUGCGACGAUGAAACACCCGCCUCCAGGUUCUUCAGGGCUAACCCGAAAGGGGACAGCGGCAGGUGGGCGGUUUGGCUGGGGCGGCACCUUGCCGAAAAGGUAUCGGCAGGGUCCAUAAGGUCAGCUCAGGCGGGUCAGGAAUCCGCCGUAGAGGACAAGGCCAAAAGCUGGCCUGACUGUGCCCUGACCAUCAAGGGGCACAGGGGGGAAACCCGGGCCUAGCGAACCCCGUACUCUCACUAGUGGGGGUACGGGCUGGCGGAAAAGCUACUCCGGGGGUAACAGCGCCGUCGCGGGCGAGAGCCCCCAUUGACCCCGCGGUUUGCGACAUCGAUGUCGUCUCUCCCCAUCCUGGUGGUGCAGAAGCCGCCAAGGGUGGGGGUGUCCACCCAUUAAAGGGGAUCGUGAGAUGGGUUCAGAACGCCGCGAGGCAGUUCGGUUAUAACUGUCGGAAGUGCUGGCUGCCUGAGGGGAAGGUCCGCCUAGUACGAAAGGAACGGCGGGCCGGGGCCUCUGGUAUACGGGCUGUCCGAGAAGGGCAUGCCCGGUAGCUACGCCCUAGGGGAUAAGCCCUGAAAGCAUCUAAGGGUGAAGCCCCCCUCAAAAAUAGGCAGCCGUUAAGGGGUCGGAUAAAAGAUCCGACUCAGAGCGGCGGUGUAAGCUCCGAAAAGGAGUUCAGCCGACCGCUUGAAGUUCCCGUGAGACUAUAUA